ACACAGAGCGAGGGGAAAAGAGACUGUCUCUACACACAGAGCGAGGGGAAAAGAGAGACUGUCUCUACACACAGAGCGAGGGGAAAAGAGAGACUGUCUCUACACACAGACCGAGGGGAAAAGAGAGACUGUCUCUACACACAGAGAGAGGGGAAAAGAGAGAGAGCCUCCACACAGAGAGAGGAAAACGGAGAUGGGGACAGUUUGUCUGUAUGCCGGGAGGCUCUGGAAUUAUGAUAAUAUUGACUGUUUCUGGGUAAUGUUAGGUUUGGAGGGUAAUGUUAGGUUUGGAGGGUAAUGUUAGGUUUGGAGGGUAAUGUUAGGUUUGGAGGGUAAUGUUAGGUUUGGAGGGUAAUGUUAGGUUUGGAGGGUAAUGUUAGGUUUGGAGGGUAAUGUUAGGUUUGGAGGGUAAUGUUAGGUUUGGAGGGUAAUGUUAGGUUUGGAGGGUAAUGUUAGGUUUGGAGGGUAAUGUUAGGUUUGGAGGGUAAUGUUAGGUUUGGAGGGUAAUGUUAGGUUUGGAGGGUAAUGUUAGGUUUGGAGGGUAAUGUUAGGUUUGGAGGGUAAUGUUAGGUUUGGAGGGUAAUGUUAGGUUUGGAGGGUAAUGUUAGGUUUGGAGGGUAAUGUUAGGUUUGGAGGGUAAUGUUAGGUUUGGAGGGUAAUGUUAGGUUUGGAGCCCAGCAGGAAGGAUGUUCAACAGGUUGAUAAACUACCUGCAUGUGUCACAUGUCAACAGACGGAAGAUGCCAAACUGACAACAUUUCAGAUAUUCACUGACAUAUGCUAAUUUUUGCUCUCUUCCUCCCCUCCAUCCCUCCUUUCCCCUCCUCCACCC
Long non-coding RNA from Oncorhynchus keta (chum salmon), 832 nucleotides. RefSeq lists it as uncharacterized. Lineage: Eukaryota; Metazoa; Chordata; Actinopteri; Salmoniformes; Salmonidae. The record is from RefSeq and is a predicted model, not a curated record. The transcript has 3 exons.